This 375-nucleotide ribosomal RNA is filed under the name uncultured bacterium. Its description in RNAcentral is "bacterial SSU rRNA". It matches the Rfam family "Bacterial small subunit ribosomal RNA", at positions 524 to 898 of the family's 1533-position model. The record is from RNAcentral.
UACAGAGGGUGCGAGCGUUAAUCGGAAUUACUGGGCGUAAAGCGUGCGUAGACGGUUAUGUAAGUCAGAUGUGAAAGCCCCGGGCUCAACCUGGGAAUUGCAUUUGAGACUGCAUAGCUAGGAUGCGGAAGAGGGAAGUGGAAUUUCCGGUGUAGCGGUGAAAUGCGUAGAUAUCGGAAGGAACAUCAGUGGCGAAAGCGACUUCCUGGUCCAGCAUCGACGUUCAGGCACGAAAGCGUGGGGAGCAAACAGGAUUAGAUACCCUGGUAGUCCACGCCAUAAACGAUGAGAACUAGACGUUGAGAGGGUAAGCCUCCCAGUGUCGUAGCUAACGCGCUAAGUUCUCCGCCUGGGGAGUACGGCCGCAAGGUUGAA